This 468-nucleotide ribosomal RNA is filed under the name Cupriavidus basilensis. RNAcentral describes it as "bacterial SSU rRNA". It matches the Rfam family "Bacterial small subunit ribosomal RNA", at positions 29 to 491 of the family's 1533-position model. Lineage: Bacteria; Pseudomonadati; Pseudomonadota; Betaproteobacteria; Burkholderiales; Burkholderiaceae. The record is from RNAcentral.
AUUGAACGCUGGCGGCAUGCCUUACACAUGCAAGUCGAACGGCAGCACGGGAGCAAUCCUGGUGGCGAGUGGCGAACGGGUGAGUAAUACAUCGGAACGUGCCCUGUCGUGGGGGAUAACUAGUCGAAAGAUUAGCUAAUACCGCAUACGACCUGAGGGUGAAAGCGGGGGACCGCAAGGCCUCGCGCGAUAGGAGCGGCCGAUGUCUGAUUAGCUAGUUGGUGGGGUAAAGGCCCACCAAGGCGACGAUCAGUAGCUGGUCUGAGAGGACGAUCAGCCACACUGGGACUGAGACACGGCCCAGACUCCUACGGGAGGCAGCAGUGGGGAAUUUUGGACAAUGGGGGCAACCCUGAUCCAGCAAUGCCGCGUGUGUGAAGAAGGCCUUCGGGUUGUAAAGCACUUUUGUCCGGAAAGAAAUCCYCUGCCCUAAUACGGCGGGGGGAUGACGGUACCGGAAGAAUAAGC